Non-coding RNA from Pelobates cultripes (western spadefoot toad), 120 nucleotides. NCBI's taxonomy places the organism in Eukaryota, Metazoa, Chordata, Amphibia, Anura, Pelobatidae. The record is from the annotation of a GenBank genome assembly.
CCCUACGGCCAUACCAGUCUGAAAGUGCCUAAUCUUGUCAGAUCUCAGAAGCCAUCCAGACUCGGGCAUGGUUAGUACUAGUAUGGGAGACCAACUAGGAACCUCAGGAUUCUGUUCUGG